GACGAACGCUGGCGGCGUGCCUAAUACAUGCAAGUAGAACGCACAGUUUAUACCGUAGCUUGCUACACCAUAGACUGUGAGUUGCGAACGGGUGAGUAACGCGUAGGUAACCUGCCUGGUAGCGUGGGAUAACUAUUGGAAACGAUAGCUAAUACCGCAUAAUAUUAAUUAUUGCAUGAUAAUUAAUUGAAAGGUGCAAUUGCACCACUACCAUAUGGACCUGCGUUGUAUUAGCUAGUAGGUGAGGUAACGGCUCACCUAGGCGACGAUACAUAGCCGACCUGAGAGGGUGAUCGGCCACACUGGGACUGAGACACGGCCCAGACUCCUACGGGAGGCAGCAGUAGGGAAUCUUCGGCAAUGGACGAAAGUCUGACCGAGCAACGCCGCGUGAGUGAAGAAGGUUGUCGGAUCGUAAAGCUCUGUUGUAAGAGAAGGACGGGUGUGAGAGUGGAAAGUUCACACUGUGACGGUAUCUUACCAGAAAGGGACGGCUAACUACGUG
RNAcentral lists this ribosomal RNA (505 nucleotides) under uncultured bacterium. Its description in RNAcentral is "partial 16S ribosomal RNA". It matches the Rfam family "Bacterial small subunit ribosomal RNA", at positions 28 to 507 of the family's 1533-position model. The record is from RNAcentral.